Molecule: ribosomal RNA, 1388 nt
Filed under: Candidatus Nomurabacteria bacterium GW2011_GWA2_42_41
Lineage: Bacteria; Candidatus Nomuraibacteriota
Description: bacterial SSU rRNA
Rfam family: Bacterial small subunit ribosomal RNA
Source: RNAcentral
AAGAGAGUUUGAUCCUAGCUCAGGAUGAACGCUGGCGGCGUGGAUAAGGCAUGCAAGUAGAACGCCCCGCAAGGGGAGUUGCGAACGAGGUAGUAAUACAUAGGUACAAACCCCCGAGUCAGGAAUAAGCGACCGAAAGGUAGUCUAAUACUUGAUAGUCCCGCAAGGGUAAAGAUUUAUCGCUUGGGGAUUGGCCUGUGCAGUAUCAGCUAGUUGGUAGGGUAAUGGCCUACCAAGGCAAUGACGCUUAGGAGAGCUGAGAGGCUGACCUCCACCGAUGGUACUGAGACACGGACCAUACACCUACGGGUGGCUGCAGUCGAGAAUCUUCCGCAAUGGACGCAAGUCUGACGGAGCGACGCCGCGUGAUCGAUGAAGUCUUUCGGGAUGUAAAGAUCUUUUAUGUAGGAGAAAGUUUUGAUAGUACUACAUGAAUAAGGGGUUGCUAAACUCGUGCCAGCAGCAGCGGUAAUACGAGUACCCCAAGCGUUAUCCGGAAUUAUUGGGCGUAAAGGGUGUGUAGGUUGUUAUGUUAGUCUUUUGUCAAAGCCUUCGGCUCAACCGGAGAAUUGCGGGAGAAACGGCAUAACUAGAGGGCGCGAGAGGUUUGCGGAACUCAUGGUGUAGGGGUGAAAUCCGUUGAUAUCAUGGGGAACACCAAAAGCGAAGGCAGCAAACUGGCGCGUUUCUGACGCUGAAACACGAAAUCCGCCUGGGAAGUACGACCGCAAGGUUAAAACUCAAAGGAAUAGACGGGGACUUGCACAAGCGGUGGAUCAGGUGGCUUAAUUCGAUGGUAAACGAAGAACCUCACCAGGGUUUGAAACUCAUAGGAAAGACCUAAGAAACUAGGUAACUCCGCAAGGAUCUAUGAGCAGGUGAUGCAUGGCCGUCGUCAGUUCGUGGUUUGAACUGUCCCCUUAAGUGGGUCAACGAACGCAACCCUCGUUGUCUGUUAUACGUGUCAGACGAGACUGCCCCCGCCUGUGUGCAUAAGCGCAAAUAUAUUUUGUUGCUUGUGAACAGAGGCGGGGGAGGAAGGAGAGGAUGACGCCAGGUCAGCAUGUCCCUUUGAUACCCUGGGCUGCACACUUGAUACAAUGGUCACUACAACGGGUCGCGACGAGGUAACUCCGAGCUAAUCCUAAUAAAGGUGGCCCCAGUUCGGAUUGAGGGCUGAAACUCGACCUCAUGAAGUUGGAAUCGCUAGUAAUCGCGGGUCAGCUAUACCGCGGUGAAUACGUUCUCAAGUCUUGUACUCACCGCCCGUCAAGUCAGGGGAGCCGUGAGUACCCGAAAUCCCAUCUUGCAUGGGCUUAAGGUAAGCAUGGUAACAAGGACUAAGUCGUAACAAGGCACGGCUAGCGGAAGCUGGUCGUGAAUCAAUU